UGUUAAAUGUUUCCGUUAAUUUACACCCAAAUUUCAACAUGAUUUACCUGUUAUUUGUAAUAACUGCAGCUUACUGUAAAUUUUUAGGGAAUACAUGUUAAAUAACGCCUCAUGUAUGUUAUUUAACACCUCAUUGCUAAAUAACAUUCAUUUUUGUUAUUUAACAGCACAACCGAACAUUCAAAGAUGGCGGCCAGAGUUAGAUGGUCUGGUAUGGUCAUGUUUUGGGGAUAAGUGCCGAUAAACGCAAUUUUAUGCUUAGAUUAUAAAAAAUAUAUUAUUUAUCAUUGGAGAAGUUAGCAAUUUUUCGUUUUUGUAAGUUGCAAAACAAUGACUAAUUCAAUAUUGUCGAUGUUGCAUACUAAGAAAUUAAAUAUUGUAUGCAUUCACUGAAUGAAGGUUAGACAGAACACCACGUGAUUUCUGUACUGCAAAUGUUAUAAAGAAUCAUCUUGCUUUUAUUACCAUAAUCAUACCUCCCGAUUUUAAACGAGACACCUAACAUUUAAUUGACUAACUGCGCUCCAAAUCUGUGUGUGUAUAUGUGUGUGUAGAUGUGUGUGUGCGUGUGUGUGUGUGUGUGUGUGUGUGUCUUUCUGAUCACGUUCGCGCCACUUUCUGAAAUAACAGGUUCAUACAGUAUUUUUUGCAUUCUGGCAAAGAGCGAGUAAGAAGGCAUUUGAACCUGCAACGCAACGGACACACGGCCAUUCCAUGUCGGAGGAUCGCUCUGGUUACAUCGAGGAAAACCACAACAAUCCGAUGCAGAUGCAGGGCACUAUCCCUGAUCACACUGCUGAUCAAGAAGAUCUCACUGCAUGUAUCCCUCAGAACCAGGUGGAAAUUUGAAUGGUGUCUUAUAAUCUAUCAAUAAGUCUUGUGUUGUUCAAGACUAAACCGACAAAUGAAAGGAUGAAGGAAGUUCUUCGUCAGCUUGAUGAUGAUGUCGAGCUGUCCUAUCAAGUCAUCCAUCUUCUUCUGUCUCACUUUUCCGAAGAUGUCUCAGGACUUGAUAUGCCAGUGCAGCUGACCUUGAGAGUUCACUAGCUUUACCUGCAACGCCUCGUCUGAUACUUCUUGGAGAAACAGGAAACCACUUCCAAAGCUGGAUGCUCAGCAUUGAGGGCCAGAUUGUGGGCGAAGGGAUCCAGUCCACCUUUGUGACAGGGCUGGCGUCUUUUUUCUCCGGUUUUUAUAUCUUCAACCUACAGUACCAAGAGGAGGCAGCGUGCACACUUGAAUUCAUCCAGAGGUAAGACAUUGUCUGUUAACACCUGCAUUUGUUCUGGCCUAGCUGUGGCUCAAGCAUGGUUUCAGCAGGUCUGGUGAUGGGAUUUAGCAAUUAACUUUGCUUUAGAAAGUUUUAGUGCAACUUACAAUAUUCAUAGAUGCAUAGGAUAGUAUGUUGAGGAUAGUUCAUGGACAUUUGUUGUCUUGUUGUAGUGUUAGUCUGUGUGAAUUACUAGAUUUCCAACCCGUGUAUAAUUUUUCAGACGCUUUGUGGGUAUAAACCCAGAAAAGGGGACAAAGGCUGCAAAGGGGAAAAAAAGAACGGUAAAUUCACACAUCGCCAGCCUCUUGCGCAGACUGAUGGACUUCCAGUGGGAUUUCAUUUCAAAAAGUGGAGGUGUGUUCAGGUGCGUUCUGGGCAAUGUAGUGUAUUUUUCUGUGAUUGAUCCGAUCUAUAUGUGCCUACAUUUGUAAGUAUUUAACUUUCAGUGUUUCUAUUACAAUAAAAAAGUUAAUUUGAACAUGGAACUAUUCGUUUUCUUUCACUUAAGUGUUAUGUGAUGUAUUAUGCCUAUUCUUAUAAUAACUCAAGCUAGAAAUAUGUAUAUUACAAUCAAUGGUACACAUUACUAUGCUAAAAUAAUAAUCAAUACAUUUUAAAAGCAAUAUUUAAAGGAAACUAAAUAAAUGGUGAUUUAACAUGAAAAUAAUGGUAACCCUGCUGCCAGUAAAGUCCUGUUAAAAAACAUUACGGGUGUGCACUGUAAAAAAACAUUAACAGGAAUAAACCGUUAAAAUAACAUGAAAAUAAUGGUAACCCUGCUGCCAGUAAA
Molecule: long non-coding RNA, 2063 nt
Organism: Pungitius pungitius (ninespine stickleback)
Lineage: Eukaryota; Metazoa; Chordata; Actinopteri; Perciformes; Gasterosteidae
Exons: 4
Source: RefSeq, a predicted model, not a curated record